GGGCCUAUGGCGCAGCAUGGAUAGCGUGUUGGACUUCUAAUCCAAAAGUCAUGGGAUCGAAGCCCAUUGGGCCCA
RNAcentral lists this transfer RNA (75 nucleotides) under Candidatus Nitrosopumilus sp. RNAcentral's name for it is "tRNA-Arg". It matches the Rfam family "tRNA". From Rfam's summary of the family: Transfer RNA (tRNA) molecules are approximately 80 nucleotides in length. Their secondary structure includes four short double-helical elements and three loops (D, anti-codon, and T loops). Lineage: Archaea; Thermoproteati; Nitrososphaerota; Nitrososphaeria; Nitrosopumilales; Nitrosopumilaceae. RNAcentral also lists the same sequence under 1 other name. The record is from RNAcentral.